RNAcentral lists this unclassified non-coding RNA (361 nucleotides) under Hevea brasiliensis (rubber tree). Lineage: Eukaryota; Viridiplantae; Streptophyta; Magnoliopsida; Malpighiales; Euphorbiaceae. The record is from RNAcentral.
GGGGCUCCAGGUUUGAUUGAUAACAUCUAAGCAGACUGAACCUGACAUCUCAUCCACAUUCGGAUGGUAAAUCUUGUUAACAAAACCAAUGGAUGGUGACUUGUAAGGAUAGGCAUCUGGGAGCUCUACCCUCACUUUCCACACACCUCCCAGGUAAGGACUCUCUUUGGGUCCAUGAAAUUCCACAAAAAAUUCUUGCAUUCCGUCAUUGAUCAUCUCCACUUUGUAGUCACUCAUCAUCAGUUUCAUCAAGUCCAUCUCUCUGCGUUUGCUAGGGGAAGACAUGAUUCCGAUUACUUCCUUAUUCUUUCUUCCUUUUUUCUUCUUUUUUUCCUCUUUUUUUUGCUUUUAUCGAUUGAAU